GUACACGCUGUGACUAGCAUAUCAAUAAGCGGAGGAAAAGAAACUAACAAGGAUUCCCCUAGUAACGGCGAGUGAAGCGGGAAGAGCUCAAAUUUGAAAUCUUAAAGGGUUUCCCUUUACGAAUUGUAGUUUAAAGAAGUGUUUUCUGUUGAGGUUUUGGUAAAAGUUCUUUGGAAUAGGACAUCAUAGAGGGUGAGAAUCCCGUAUUUGACCUUUACUUUCAACUUUGUGAUACACUUUCAAAGAGUCGGAUUGUUUGGGAAUGCAGUCCAAAAUGGGUGGUAAAUUUCAUCUAAAGCUAAAUAUUGGCGAGAGACCGAUAGCGAACAAGUACCGUGAGGGAAAGAUGAAAAGAACUUUGAAAAGAGAGUUAAACAGUACGUGAAAUUGUCAAAAGGGAAGCGUUUGACACCAGUGUUGUUUUUCUGAAAAUCAAUUAAAGAACUGUUUAUGCUAAGCUGUUUAGACUUUAUCAGCUAUCUGUUUAGUUUUGAGCUUUUCUUUAAUGCACUUUUCAGUUAACAAGUCAACAUCAAUUUCUUUUGCUGUAAAAAAGCUUGAGGAAGGUGGCUUGAGAUUCGUCCUUAAGUGUUUAUAGCCUCUUGCCUAUGCAGUCGGAGAGAUUGAGGUCUGCAGCGUAGAUCCUUCGGGGCUAAAUGCAUUUGUGCUAAGUUAUAGCAUUUUAUAGACAACUUGUUGACUAUGAUUUGUCUUGUAGCUUACUCGCUUAUGUUAUUUUACCUACGCUUAGGAUGUUGAUAUGCAUGACUGAUAU
Molecule: ribosomal RNA, 775 nt
Filed under: uncultured Neocallimastigales
Lineage: Eukaryota; Fungi; Neocallimastigomycota; Neocallimastigomycetes; Neocallimastigales
Description: partial large subunit ribosomal RNA
Rfam family: Eukaryotic large subunit ribosomal RNA
Source: RNAcentral